Molecule: ribosomal RNA, 535 nt
Filed under: uncultured Acidobacteriota bacterium
Lineage: Bacteria; Pseudomonadati; Acidobacteriota
Description: bacterial SSU rRNA
Rfam family: Bacterial small subunit ribosomal RNA
Source: RNAcentral
UUGAUCCUGGCUCAGAAUCAACGCUGGCGGCGUGCCUAACACAUGCAAGUCGAACGCGAAAGGGACUUCGGUCCUGAGUAGAGUGGCGAACGGGUGAGUUACACGUGGGUGACCUACCUUCGAAUGGGGGAUAACGUCCCGAAAGGGACUCUAAUACCGCAUAACAUCCUGUCCUUGAACGGAUGGUGAUCAAAGCCGGUGAUCGCAAGACCUGGCGUUUGAAGAGGGGCCCGCGUCCGAUUAGCUAGUUGGUGAGGUAACGGCUCACCAAGGCAACGAUCGGUAACCGGCCUGAGAGGUCGGACGGUCACACUGGGACUGAGACACGGCCCAGACUCCUACGGGAGGCUGCAGUGGGGAAUUGUUCACAAUGGGCGCAAGCCUGAUGACGCAACGCCGUGUGGAGGAUGAAGGUCUUCGGAUUGUAAACUCCUGUUGCCCGGGACGAAUUGCUUUGACCUAACACGUCAAAGUUUGACGGUACCGGGUGAGGAAGCCCUGGCUAACUCUGUGCCAGCAGCCGCGGUAAUAAGGU